RNAcentral lists this transfer RNA (59 nucleotides) under Faecalibacterium sp. RNAcentral describes it as "tRNA-Ser". It matches the Rfam family "tRNA", at positions 18 to 71 of the family's 71-position model. From Rfam's summary of the family: Transfer RNA (tRNA) molecules are approximately 80 nucleotides in length. Their secondary structure includes four short double-helical elements and three loops (D, anti-codon, and T loops). Lineage: Bacteria; Bacillati; Bacillota; Clostridia; Eubacteriales; Oscillospiraceae. The record is from RNAcentral.
GUUAGAGCACCUGACUGUUAAUCAGGGUGUCGCCUGUUCGAGUCAGGCAAGAGGCGCCA